GGCGGUAUACUUUAAGUUAAAAGGAUUGAUUUGCAUUCAAUUAAUAAGAAUUGUAUUUCUUUAGCGCCA
Molecule: transfer RNA, 69 nt
Filed under: Clithon oualaniense
Lineage: Eukaryota; Metazoa; Mollusca; Gastropoda; Cycloneritida; Neritidae
Description: tRNA-Ala
Rfam family: tRNA
About the family: Transfer RNA (tRNA) molecules are approximately 80 nucleotides in length.
Source: RNAcentral